This 76-nucleotide transfer RNA is filed under the name Candidatus Psychracetigena formicireducens. RNAcentral describes it as "tRNA-Met". It matches the Rfam family "tRNA". Rfam says of the family: Transfer RNA (tRNA) molecules are approximately 80 nucleotides in length. Their secondary structure includes four short double-helical elements and three loops (D, anti-codon, and T loops). Lineage: Bacteria; Bacillati; Candidatus Lithacetigenota. The record is from RNAcentral.
GGGCCCAUAGCUCAACUGGCAGAGCCACCGGCUCAUAACCGGAAGGUUCCUGGUCCGACCCCAGGUGGGCCCACCA